GAUGAACGCUGGCGGCGUGCCUAAUACAUGCAAGUCGAGCGAACAGACGAGGAGCUUGCUCCUCUGACGUUAGCGGCGGACGGGUGAGUAACACGUGGAUAACCUACCUAUAAGACUGGGAUAACUUCGGGAAACCGGAGCUAAUACCGGAUAAUAUAUUGAACCGCAUGGUUCAAUAGUGAAAGACGGUUUUGCUGUCACUUAUAGAUGGAUCCGCGCCGCAUUAGCUAGUUGGUAAGGUAACGGCUUACCAAGGCAACGAUGCGUAGCCGACCUGAGAGGGUGAUCGGCCACACUGGAAAUGAGACACGGGCCAGACUCCUACGGGAGGCAGCAGUAGGGAAUCUUCCGCAAUGGGCGAAAGCCUGACGGAGCAACGCCGCGUGAGUGAUGAAGGGCUUCGGAUCGUAAAACCCUGUUAUUAGGGAAGAACAAAUGUGUAAGUAACUAUGCACGUCUUGACGGUACCUAAGCAGAAAGCCACGGCUAACUACGU
Molecule: ribosomal RNA, 496 nt
Filed under: uncultured bacterium
Lineage: Bacteria
Description: partial 16S ribosomal RNA
Rfam family: Bacterial small subunit ribosomal RNA
Source: RNAcentral